RNAcentral lists this ribosomal RNA (680 nucleotides) under uncultured Lachnospiraceae bacterium. RNAcentral's name for it is "bacterial SSU rRNA". It matches the Rfam family "Bacterial small subunit ribosomal RNA", at positions 62 to 755 of the family's 1533-position model. Lineage: Bacteria; Bacillati; Bacillota; Clostridia; Lachnospirales; Lachnospiraceae. The record is from RNAcentral.
UCGAACGAGAGAUGAGGAGCUUGCUCUUCAAAUCGAGUGGCGAACGGGUGAGUAACGCGUGAGGAACCUGCCUCAAAGAGGGGGACAACAGUUGGAAACGACUGCUAAUACCGCAUAAGCCCACGGCUCGGCAUCGAGCAGAGGGAAAAGGAGCAAUCCGCUUUGAGAUGGCCUCGCGUCCGAUUAGCUAGUUGGUGAGGUAACGGCCCACCAAGGCGACGAUCGGUAGCCGGACUGAGAGGUUGAACGGCCACAUUGGGACUGAGACACGGCCCAGACUCCUACGGGAGGCAGCAGUGGGGAAUAUUGCACAAUGGGGGAAACCCUGAUGCAGCGACGCCGCGUGGAGGAAGAAGGUCUUCGGAUUGUAAACUCCUGUUGUUGAGGAAGAUAAUGACGGUACUCAACAAGGAAGUGACGGCUAACUACGUGCCAGCAGCCGCGGUAAAACGUAGGUCACAAGCGUUGUCCGGAAUUACUGGGUGUAAAGGGAGCGCAGGCGGGAGAACAAGUUGGAAGUGAAAUCCAUGGGCUCAACCCAUGAACUGCUUUCAAAACUGUUUUUCUUGAGUAGUGCAGAGGUGGGCGGAAUUCCCGGUGUAGCGGUGGAAUGCGUAGAUAUCGGGAGGAACACCAGUGGCGAAGGCGGCCUACUGGGCACCAACUGACGCUGAGGCUCG